AUUAAGAGUUCUUGAAGCCAGCAUAGCAGAGAAUAAAGCAUGUUUGAAGAGGACACCUACAGAAGUUUGGAGGGAUUCUCGAAACCCUUAUGAUAGAAAAAGACAGGACAAAGCUCCCGUUGGGCUAAAGAAUGUUGGCAAUACUUGUUGGUUUAGUGCUGUUAUUCAGUCAUUAUUUAAUCUUUUGGAAUUUAGAAGAUUAGUUCUGAAUUACAAGCCUCCAUCAAAUGCUCAAGAUUUACCCCGAAACCAAAAGGAACAUCGGAAUUUGCCUUUUAUGCGUGAGCUGAGGUAUCUAUUUGCACUUCUUGUUGGUACCAAAAGGAAGUAUGUUGAUCCAUCAAGAGCAGUUGAAAUUCUUAAGGAUGCUUUCAAAUCAAAUGACUCACAGCAGGUAGUUCUGUUGCACUGACUUGUUCAUUAACCAUUUGUAUUUAAUCUGAACAAUAUUAAGCACCUUUCCCAAGAAUAUGAGACUAUUUGAGAUGCAUGAUUCUGCUUUAUUAAAAAUAACCUGGAACCAUUUAAAACAUUUGGGAGACUUUUAAGAGAAAAGUGAUCUUGAAGGUGUUAAAAUAAAGUUUUAAUUUAUAUUAUGAUUGAAAUGAAAACGAUGGAUACAAUUAAGAUUAUUUACAAAUACAUAAUUAAACAUGUUCACAAAUGUGUGAUAACAGAGGAUCAUUAUAGUACACAUGCUUUUGAUAUUCCUGUGUUUGCUGGCAGGGAGUACUUUUCCUUAAUUACCCAGAAAUGGUUUUUGAAAGAUGUUAUCUUUGUUAUUGUUGCUUUUGUCUUUUAUUCUUUAUAUAGUGUAUUGUGGUAGAUUUUUAUCCAUUACCUUAAAAGAAUAUUGGUAAUUUUCUUAUAAAAAAUACAAAAUAUCUAUAAACAAACCAGUAUUUUCACAUAUAAUUGGAAAAAUCAGAGAAAUUAAAG
RNAcentral lists this long non-coding RNA (939 nucleotides) under Homo sapiens (human). RNAcentral's name for it is "HSALNT0271222". Lineage: Eukaryota; Metazoa; Chordata; Mammalia; Primates; Hominidae. The record is from RNAcentral.